GACGAAAUGGCUAAGUGAUCAAGUUAUUUGUCCACUAUUCAAAAGGCCUCGGGUUCGAGCCCAGGUUUUGGCG
Molecule: transfer RNA, 73 nt
Filed under: Trichomalopsis sarcophagae
Lineage: Eukaryota; Metazoa; Arthropoda; Insecta; Hymenoptera; Pteromalidae
Description: tRNA-OTHER
Source: RNAcentral